ACCAGCCAUCCCGCGUGAAGGAUGAAGGUCCUAUGGAUUGUAAACUUCUUUUAUACACCAAGAAAAACUCCCACGUGUGGGAGCCCGACGGUAGUGUAUGAAAAGCAUCGGCUAACUCCGUGCCAGCAGCCGCGGUAAUACGGAGGAUGCAAGCGUUAUCCGGAUUCAUUGGGUUUAAAGGGUGCGUAGGCGGCUCUUUAAGUCAGUGGUGAAAUCCUGCCGCUUAACGGUAGAAUUGCCAUUGAUACUGAAGAGCUUGAGUACAGUUGAGGUAGGCGAAUGUGUAGUGUAGCGGUGAAAUGCUUAGAUAUUACACAGAACACCGAUUGCGAAGGCAGCUUACUAAACUGUUACUGACGCUGAUGCACGAAAGCGUGAGGAGCGAACAGGAUUAGAUACCCUGGUAGUCCACGCCGUAAACGAUGCUCACUCGCUGUAUGCGAUACACAGUAUGCGGCCAAGCGAAAGCAUUAAGUGAGCCACCUGGGGAGUACGAUCGCAAGGUUGAAACUCAAAGGAAUUGACGGGGGCCCGCACAAGCGGAGGAACAUGUGGUUUAAUUCGAUGAUACGCGAGGAACCUUACCUGGCUUAAAUGUAGAGCGACAGCUUUGAAAGCAGGCUUUCUUCGGACGAUCUACAAGGUGCUGCAUGGUUGUCGUCAGCUCGUGCCGUGAGGUGUCGGGUUAAGUCCCAUAACGAGCGCAACCCUUAUCGUUAGUUGCCAGCGGGUCAAGCCGGGGACUCUAGCGAGACUGCCACCGUAAGGUGUGAGGAAGGUGGGGAUGACGUCAAAUCAGCACGGCCCUUAUGUCCAGGGCUACACACGUGUUACAAUGGCCGAUACAAAGGGCAGCUACCAGGUGACUGGAUGUUAAUCUCUAAAGUCGGUCUCAGUUCGGAUCGAAGUCUGCAACCCGACUUCGUGAAGCUGGAUUCGCUAGUAAUCGCAUAUCAGCCAUGAUGCGGUGAAAUA
This 975-nucleotide ribosomal RNA is filed under the name uncultured bacterium. RNAcentral describes it as "bacterial SSU rRNA". It matches the Rfam family "Bacterial small subunit ribosomal RNA", at positions 387 to 1369 of the family's 1533-position model. The record is from RNAcentral.